RNAcentral lists this long non-coding RNA (288 nucleotides) under Ananas comosus (pineapple). RNAcentral describes it as "long non-coding RNA (ACOM_LNC013750)". Lineage: Eukaryota; Viridiplantae; Streptophyta; Magnoliopsida; Poales; Bromeliaceae. The record is from RNAcentral.
ACUUUGUUGUAAUUUCUAUCUCCAACUUUCAGAAUUAUUGCAAUUAAAUCAUAAUAACUUAAUUUAAUUGACGAAAUAUUGAUGUAUCGCUAAGGUAUAAGUGUUGCAACAGUGUUAUGAUUAAUUGAUAAUGCACCAAUAAAUGAGAUGUAACAUCACUUUUAUAUAGGCGAUGCAUUAAUAAGUAGUCGACUAAAUUAGAUUGUGAAAUUUGAUUGUAAUAAUUCUAGAAGUUUCCACCAAAUUUACCAUAAAUUAAAGCUUGAGGACUAAACUGUCACCCAACUU